AAGGGCGGGAGGGAAGAAAUGAGCGAGAGAAGGAGAAAGGGAGGAGGCAGGGAAGCAAAGGUAGGAACAGAGAAAACCAUGGCCCAACUUCUUGACCCAGGAACCUCUUGGUUCAGCUAUGAUGUCAUAGUAUAACAAGUGAAACCCAAGCAUGGAGACAGCAGCUUUCCGAGUGAUUCCCCCCCCCCCCCCCCCCGUUAACAGGAAUAUCAACACACCCUCUAUCUGGACAGUCCGAGGCUCUAAGCCUGCAGCCUUGUGCCUUUCACAAACAUUAGCCGGGGACAACGGUGACUAAAACCUACUCCCAAGGUUUUAAAAUAGUUCUUCUUAAAAGUUAUUUAUUUCAUAUUCAAUCAGCUUUCCUAGAGCCAGUAAGGCUGUGAACUCCCACAUGACCUGUACUGUCUAGGAGGAGGUGGCCACUUGCUGCUCCAGAGCACACAGACCUUUAGGGGUUGAUCCAGCAUGGACAUUGACUAUCUGAGGGAAUC
This 494-nucleotide long non-coding RNA is filed under the name Rattus norvegicus (Norway rat). RNAcentral describes it as "long non-coding RNA NONRATT005541". Lineage: Eukaryota; Metazoa; Chordata; Mammalia; Rodentia; Muridae. The record is from RNAcentral.